RNAcentral lists this long non-coding RNA (484 nucleotides) under Pan troglodytes (chimpanzee). RNAcentral's name for it is "long non-coding RNA NONPTRT003191". Lineage: Eukaryota; Metazoa; Chordata; Mammalia; Primates; Hominidae. The record is from RNAcentral.
AUUUAAAUGCAGCUUUUCAGGAAUACAUUUCUUAUGUAAAGUGAGGUACACCCAUGUAUUCAUCUUAAGUUUCCUCCAAGGACAAUCCAGCACUUUGCUUCCAUUCACAGGACAGGGGAACAGAUAGUACUUGUGAAAGAAGUCAGCGGCCCCUCUUGGACUGCCCUCCUCACCUUUCUCAGGAGCCAAGGCUGUGAGGAAUCCAAACAACAAAGUCCCACCUGCAGCCACAGUCCUUCCACUCUCCACCAACAAGGCUCCUUCUACAACCAGAAAUUUGCUUCACCUUGGUCCAGAAAAACGUGAAUCGGGAACAGUUGUGUAUGAGAUUUGGAGGCUGCACGGGCCACAAAUAUGGCCUGUGGCAGAUGGGGAAAUUUAGGAAACCGCCUCAACGGCUUCUUGCUGCUAAGCUAUUUCAUUUCUGCACUGGUCACAAGAGCAAAAAUGGGUGUUUGAAGAACUUACUCCCAUGAUGCGGCAG